Molecule: ribosomal RNA, 220 nt
Filed under: Anaerobutyricum soehngenii
Lineage: Bacteria; Bacillati; Bacillota; Clostridia; Lachnospirales; Lachnospiraceae
Description: partial 16S ribosomal RNA
Rfam family: Bacterial small subunit ribosomal RNA
Source: RNAcentral
UUAUUUGAGAGUUUGAUCCUGGCUCAGGAUGAACGCUGGCGGCGUGCCUAACACAUGCAAGUCGAACGAAGCACCUUUUAUGAUUCUUCGGAUGAAGGUCUGGUGACUGAGUGGCGGACGGGUGAGUAACGCGUGGGUAACCUGCCCUGUACAGGGGGAUAACAGUUGGAAACGGCUGCUAAUACCGCAUAAGCGCACGAGAGGACAUCCUCUUGUGUGA